RNAcentral lists this ribosomal RNA (492 nucleotides) under uncultured bacterium. RNAcentral describes it as "partial 16S ribosomal RNA". It matches the Rfam family "Bacterial small subunit ribosomal RNA", at positions 29 to 507 of the family's 1533-position model. The record is from RNAcentral.
AUUGAACGCUGGCGGCAUGCUUUACACAUGCAAGUCGAACGGUAACAGGCCUUCGGGUGCUGACGAGUGGCGAACGGGUGAGUAAUGCAUCGGAACGUGCCCAGAGGUGGGGGAUAACGCAGCGAAAGCUGUGCUAAUACCGCAUGUGAUCUGAGGAUGAAAGCGGGGGACCAGGCAGCAAUGUUUGGCCUCGCGCCUUUGGAGCGGCCGAUGUCAGAUUAGGUAGUUGGUGGGGUAAAGGCCUACCAAGCCGACGAUCUGUAGCUGGUCUGAGAGGACGACCAGCCACACUGGAACUGAGACACGGCCCAGACUCCUACGGGAGGCAGCAGUGGGGAAUAUUGGACAAUGGGCGCAAGCCUGAUCCAGCAAUGCCGCGUGCGGGAAGAAGGCCUUCGGGUUGUAAACCGCUUUUGGACGGAACGAAAAGGCUCUGGCUAAUACCUGGGGCUGAUGACGGUACCGUAAGAAUAAGCACCGGCUAACUACGUG